CUUCACCGAUACAGCGGACUCGGCAGUGCUACACUUUUGGAGUUAUCGGAAAAGUGUAAUCAAGAGUUUUGCCUGGAAAAACACGUUCGAGAAGCAACCCGAAAGUCUAACCUCUCCACAACAAAAGAUCUGCCUCUGUAGUAUUCUUAACGAGGACAACACCAUUCUGGGACUCAUCAUCAAACAGCUGACCCAGCAAAUAUUCCGAGAUGGAAGGCGAGUCAGAAUUCAGUGUGGAGAAGUUCCGUGAUCCUGACGAAACUCAAGCAACAUGGCGCCUCAGAAAAGCAUUCCUGGAAACCCACUACGACAAAUUUCCAACUGAUCGUCUUGUUUGUUUAGCCAAGUGUUUUAUCAAUGUAGAAGUUGACGGCUGCAAGUACCCAAACCAAGUAAUGAUACAGCUUGCUGAACUCAAGAGGGAACUGAAUCUUUGACCUGUCAUUUUAGAUUUAUGAUGGAUUUCAUGAAAAUAUUAAAAUACAACACAGAGAGACUUGUGAAAACUGGCAUAUGGCUUGUAUAACUCGAUAUCUAUAAUUCCAGUCAAGAUUGGAACAUAUGUCAUGCUGAUGUUUCACCAUUUAUAAUAGAAAUAUUUAAUUCAUGGUUUUGUCCAAUUUUAUCCUUGUCAUCAAUAUGCAUCUUCUUUCCAUUGCUUAAAUUGUAAUUUUAAAGUUUGAUGCAUUUUUAUUACCAUAUACUUCUCCAUCAUCAACAUCAUCAUAAUCCAAGUUUCAUCAUGUUCAUGUUAUCUUUUCAACUCAUUUUUACACAUGCCUAGGUAACAUUCUGUUGAUGGGGAGAUUGUUGUUUCAUAUUGAUCAAUAAAUGAAGAACUAUUAGCCUUAGUAUCUGAAAAUGGAAAUCAAGAUUUCACAUAAAGCAAGUGAUCCAAAA
Molecule: long non-coding RNA, 900 nt
Organism: Haliotis rufescens (red abalone)
Lineage: Eukaryota; Metazoa; Mollusca; Gastropoda; Lepetellida; Haliotidae
Exons: 2
Source: RefSeq, a predicted model, not a curated record